AAAAACUAAAAAUACUGCAAAACUAAAAACCAAAACCAAAAGCUAGAAACCAAAAUCAAAAACUGAAAACCAAAACAAAAACUUAAAAAUCAAAAACCAAAAUCUAAAAACUAAAACCAAAAUCUAAAAACCAAAAACUAAAACUAAAAACUAGUUCAAACAAUCAACACCUGAAGAUUUUUUGUAAGUUUUUCCUCUGUAACCUGCAUAAUUGUUUAAUAAAUCAUUUUUUUCGGGAAUUGAAACUUGGACCUGCUGGUGUAAAAACAUUAAUAAACUCUUAGUCAAACUACUCAAAUAAGUGUGCUUCCACUACUAGAGAUUCUUUAUUAACUACAAAAGGAAGAGAGAAACAGAGGUCGAAGCAAAAUCUUUUAAGCAUCAGCCCAGAAGUUUAAGACUAAAAACCUAUACAUGCAUUUUGGGCCAAUUUGUCCGUAUCAAUCAGUUUAACUCGAGACCAAAUUGGAGUUUUUGUAGUUUCUUUGAUAAUAUUUAUUGAUUGCAGUGGAACAAGUGCGUAAAUGAUUAUUCUGGAUCAAGUGGAAUAGAAGACACUAAUUCAACAUGGCGUAAUAGCUAUGAAAUAUUUAGCUAAUUCUUUCUCACAUUUCAUAUUGUCAACAUAGCGAUUAAGAGCAGCUCCGAUGGGAUGUAUAGGGGAUCUAAAAAUAAAAAUAAAAGAAAAAAUUAAAAGAAAUUAAGAAAAAAAAAAGUUCUAAUCUUGCUACUUUUAGACUACCUAUCUAAUGUGGGUUCUUCUCAUUGGAGUUCUUAAUAUAUAUCAUAUAUGUAUAUAUGUAUGUAUAUAUUAUAUAUAUAAAUAUUUGUGGGAUUCAUAAUUUUUGUGGAACCCCGUAAUCAAAAGUUCUUAAAAUAUAUUUUAAGAGCUCCAAUGGAAAGAACCACCAUUGGAGGUGUUCUUAAAAACCUCUACUUCUUAUCUGUCACCGUCUAAAUGCAUCUUUC
RNAcentral lists this long non-coding RNA (969 nucleotides) under Brassica rapa (field mustard). Its description in RNAcentral is "long non-coding RNA (BRAP_LNC001516)". The record is from RNAcentral. Lineage: Eukaryota; Viridiplantae; Streptophyta; Magnoliopsida; Brassicales; Brassicaceae.